Molecule: ribosomal RNA, 222 nt
Filed under: Salmonella enterica subsp. enterica serovar 1,4,[5],12:i:-
Lineage: Bacteria; Pseudomonadati; Pseudomonadota; Gammaproteobacteria; Enterobacterales; Enterobacteriaceae
Description: partial 23S ribosomal RNA
Rfam family: Bacterial large subunit ribosomal RNA
Source: RNAcentral
GGUCGAGUCGGCCUGCGCGGAAGAUGUAACGGGGCUAAACCAUGCACCGAAGCUGCGGCAGCGAACGUAUCACCCAAGACAACUUUACGGAGUUGACGAUUGACGGAGCGAAGCGACGUCAAAGCGUAUACAAAGUCGAGUCGGUUUAAGGAUACGUUCGUUGGGUAGGGGAGCGUUCUGUAAGCCCGUGAAGGUGGCCUGUGAGGGUUGCUGGAGGUAUCA